Ribosomal RNA from Trichomalopsis sarcophagae, 122 nucleotides. It matches the Rfam family "5.8S ribosomal RNA", at positions 34 to 154 of the family's 154-position model. From Rfam's summary of the family: 5.8S ribosomal RNA (5.8S rRNA) is a component of the large subunit of the eukaryotic ribosome. It is transcribed by RNA polymerase I as part of the 45S precursor that also contains 18S and 28S rRNA. Functionally, it is thought that 5.8S rRNA may be involved in ribosome translocation. NCBI's taxonomy places the organism in Eukaryota, Metazoa, Arthropoda, Insecta, Hymenoptera, Pteromalidae. The record is from Rfam.
CGAUGAAGAACGCAGCUAAUUGCGCGUCAACUUGUGAACUGCAGGACACAUGAACAUCGACAUUUCGAACGCACAUUGCGGUCCUCGGAUACGAUUCCCGGACCACGCCUGGCUGAGGGUCG